Molecule: long non-coding RNA, 444 nt
Filed under: Ailuropoda melanoleuca (giant panda)
Lineage: Eukaryota; Metazoa; Chordata; Mammalia; Carnivora; Ursidae
Description: lncRNA (ENSAMEG00000026844.1)
Source: RNAcentral
AUGAAUAAUUAUCCCCUCUCCAGGGGACAUUCUGGAGCCAAGUUCCUGAGGCGGUGGAAGGGCGAGCCACCUGAGCUGAGGAAUUACCUUUACACCCGAGGAGGACAGAAGCUGACAUCUGUGUACCGGAGGGAUACCACCGCGUCCUCUGCCCAGCAAGUAGCGCAUGGAGACGGUCUGCAUGUCACUGAGGUCAAGAAAACAGGCUUGGGGAUGCAAAUACCUCCGGAAGGAUGUGGCCACACCACACGAUGCUCCCCAGACCACGGGUGCCCCAAGGGACAUUUCUUCCCAGCUCCCAGGGCUAUGGAUGGGCAUGACUCGACCUGGUCAGCAGAGAGCAAGGAGACCUCCUGGCUGAGAAGGAGAACUGCAGGUCUGGUUCCGUCACCUCAGAGAAACAUGAACUUCUCUGUCUCUCGUGACUCUCCAAAGCUCCACUGA